GAUGAACGCUAGCUACAGGCUUAACACAUGCAAGUCGAGGGGCAGCAGGGAUUUAGCUUGCUAAAUCCGCUGGCGACCGGCGCACGGGUGCGUAACGCGUAUCCAACUUUCCCGUUACUCAGGGAUAGCCUUCCGAAAGGGAGAUUAAUACCUGAUGGUGUUUGAAAUCCGCAUGUUCUUCAAACUAAAGAUUUAUCGGUAACGGAUAGGGAUGCGUGACAUUAGAUAGUAGGCGGGGUAACGGCCCACCUAGUCUACGAUGUCUAGGGGUUCUGAGAGGAAGGUCCCCCACACUGGAACUGAGACACGGUCCAGACUCCUACGGGAGGCAGCAGUGAGGAAUAUUGGUCAAUGGUCGGAAGACUGAACCAGCCAAGUAGCGUGAAGGAUGAAGGUUCUAUGGAUUGUAAACUUCUUUAUAUAGGAAUAAAACCUCCCACGUGUGGGAGCUUGUAUGUACUAUAUGAAUAAGCAUCGGCUAACUCCGUG
Molecule: ribosomal RNA, 489 nt
Filed under: uncultured bacterium
Lineage: Bacteria
Description: bacterial SSU rRNA
Rfam family: Bacterial small subunit ribosomal RNA
Source: RNAcentral